Molecule: transfer RNA, 82 nt
Filed under: Methanobacteriota archaeon
Lineage: Archaea; Methanobacteriati; Methanobacteriota
Also listed under: 1 other name
Description: Euryarchaeota archaeon tRNA-Leu
Rfam family: tRNA
About the family: Transfer RNA (tRNA) molecules are approximately 80 nucleotides in length. Their secondary structure includes four short double-helical elements and three loops (D, anti-codon, and T loops). Further hydrogen bonds mediate the characteristic L-shaped molecular structure. tRNAs have two regions of fundamental functional importance: the anti-codon, which is responsible for specific mRNA codon recognition, and the 3' end, to which the tRNAs corresponding amino acid is attached (by aminoacyl-tRNA synthetases). tRNAs cope with the degeneracy of the genetic code in two manners: having more than one tRNA (with a specific anti-codon) for a particular amino acid; and 'wobble' base-pairing, i.e. permitting non-standard base-pairing at the 3rd anti-codon position.
Source: RNAcentral
GCAGGGGUAGCCAAGUGGUCAAAGGCGCCGGGCUUAGGACCCGGUCUCAAGGAGUUCGCAGGUUCAAAUCCUGCCCCCUGCA